GCGGAAGUCGUCUAGUGGCCAAGACGCGACGUUGCCAACGUCGAGAGCGCGGGUUCGAGUCCCGCCUUCCGCUCCA
Molecule: transfer RNA, 76 nt
Filed under: Acidobacteriota bacterium
Lineage: Bacteria; Pseudomonadati; Acidobacteriota
Also listed under: 7 other names
Description: Acidobacteria bacterium tRNA-Gly
Rfam family: tRNA
About the family: Transfer RNA (tRNA) molecules are approximately 80 nucleotides in length.
Source: RNAcentral